AUAUAAGCAAAAUUGACUUUUUAGAUUCAUUCAUUUAAUGAUGUAUGUGGUUCAUAAUAUGGAUCACAUACAUCAUUAAAUAAAUGAACCUAAAAAGUCAAUUUUGCUUGUAU
Medicago truncatula (barrel medic) is the source of this 113-nucleotide microRNA precursor. It matches the Rfam family "MIR2593 microRNA precursor family". Lineage: Eukaryota; Viridiplantae; Streptophyta; Magnoliopsida; Fabales; Fabaceae. The record is from Rfam.